CCCUUAGAUGUUCUGGGCUGCACGCGCGCUACACUGAAGCUAUCAACACGUUUUCCCUCCCUGAGAAGGGCGGGUAACCUUUUGAAUCAGCUUCGUGGUAGGGAUCGGGGCUUGCAAUUGUUCCCCGUGAACCAGGAAUUCCUAGUAGACGCGAGUCAUAAGCUCGCAUCGAUUAAGUCCCUGCCCUUUGUACACACCGCCCGUCGCUACUACCGAUUGAACGUUUUAGUGGGGCAUUUGGACCGACGCAUCCCAGUUUAACCGCUGGUUUGUGUUGGAAAGACUUCCAAACUUGAGCGUUUAGAGGAAGUAAAAGUCGUAACA
This 324-nucleotide ribosomal RNA is filed under the name uncultured eukaryote. RNAcentral's name for it is "partial 18S ribosomal RNA". It matches the Rfam family "Eukaryotic small subunit ribosomal RNA", at positions 1470 to 1796 of the family's 1831-position model. The record is from RNAcentral.